UAAUGUAUGGGGAUCUGCCCGAUAGAGGGGGAGAACUACUGGAAACGGUGGCUAAUACCGCAUAAUGUCUACGGACCAAAGCAGGGGCUCUUCGGACCUUGCACUAUCGGAUGAACCCAUAUGGGAUUAGCUAGUAGGUGGGGUAAAGGCUCACCUAGGCGACGAUCUCUAGCUGGUCUGAGAGGAUGAUCAGCCACACUGGGACUGAGACACGGCCCAG
RNAcentral lists this ribosomal RNA (220 nucleotides) under uncultured bacterium. Its description in RNAcentral is "partial 16S ribosomal RNA". It matches the Rfam family "Bacterial small subunit ribosomal RNA", at positions 111 to 334 of the family's 1533-position model. The record is from RNAcentral.